GACGAACGCUGGCGGCGUGCUUAACACAUGCAAGUCGAACGGAAAGGCCCUGCUUUUGUGGGGUGCUCGAGUGGCGAACGGGUGAGUAACACGUGAGUAACCUGCCCUUGACUUUGGGAUAACUUCAGGAAACUGGGGCUAAUACCGGAUAGGAGCUCCUGCUGCAUGGUGGGGGUUGGAAAGUUUCGGCGGUUGGGGAUGGACUCGCGGCUUAUCAGCUUGUUGGUGGGGUAGUGGCUUACCAAGGCUUUGACGGGUAGCCGGCCUGAGAGGGUGACCGGCCACAUUGGGACUGAGAUACGGCCCAGACUCCUACGGGAGGCAGCAGGGGGGAAUAUGGCACAAUGGGCGGAAGCCGGAUGCAGCAACGCCGCGUGCGGGAUGACGGCCUUCGGGUUGUAAACCGCUUUCGCCUGUGACGAAGCGUGAGUGACGGUAAGGGGUAAAGAAGCACCGGCUAACUACGUG
This 468-nucleotide ribosomal RNA is filed under the name uncultured bacterium. Its description in RNAcentral is "partial 16S ribosomal RNA". It matches the Rfam family "Bacterial small subunit ribosomal RNA", at positions 28 to 507 of the family's 1533-position model. The record is from RNAcentral.